UAGGGAAUCUUCGGCAAUGGGCGAAAGCCUGACGGAGCAACGCCGCGUGAGUGAUGAAGGUCUUCGGAUCGUAAAACUCUGUUAUUAGGGAAGAACAAAUGUGUAAGUAACUAUGCACGUCUUGACGGUACCUAAUCAGAAAGCCACGGCUAACUACGUGCCAGCAGCCGCGGUAAUACGUAGGUGGCAAGCGUUAUCCGGAAUUAUUGGGCGUAAAGCGCGCGUAGGCGGUUUUUUAAGUCUGAUGUGAAAGCCCACGGCUCAACCGUGGAGGGUCAUUGGAAACUGGAAAACUUGAGUGCAGAAGAGGAAAGUGGAAUUCCAUGUGUAGCGGUGAAAUGCGCAGAGAUAUGGAGGAACACCAGUGGCGAAGGCGACUUUCUGGUCUGUAACUGACGCUGAUGUGCGAAAGCGUGGGGAUCAAACAGG
RNAcentral lists this ribosomal RNA (429 nucleotides) under Actinomycetes bacterium. RNAcentral describes it as "Actinobacteria bacterium partial 16S ribosomal RNA". It matches the Rfam family "Bacterial small subunit ribosomal RNA", at positions 355 to 776 of the family's 1533-position model. The record is from RNAcentral. Lineage: Bacteria; Bacillati; Actinomycetota; Actinomycetes.